AUUGAACGCUGGCGGCAGGCUUAACACAUGCAAGUCGAGCAGGGUGAUGGUGCUUGCACUAUCACUUAGCGGCGGACGGGUGAGUAAUGCUUAGGAAUCUGCCUAUUAGUGGGGGACAACAUCUCGAAAGGGAUGCUAAUACCGCAUACGUCCUACGGGAGAAAGCAGGGGAUCACUUGUGACCUUGCGCUAAUAGAUGAGCCUAAGUCGGAUUAGCUAGUCGGUGGGGUAAAGGCCUACCAAGGCGACGAUCUGUAGCGGGUCUGAGAGGAUGAUCCGCCAAACUGGGACUGAGACACGGCCCAGACUCCUACGGGAGGCAGCAGUGGGGAAUAUUGGACAAUGGGGGGAACCCUGAUCCAGCCAUGCCGCGUGUGUGAAGAAGGCCUUAUGGUUGUAAAGCACUUUAAGCGAGGAGGAGGCUCUUUUGGUUAAUACCCAAGAUGAGUGGACGUUACUCGCAGAAUAAGCACCGGCUAACUCUGUGCCAGCCGCCGCCGUAA
RNAcentral lists this ribosomal RNA (503 nucleotides) under uncultured bacterium. RNAcentral describes it as "partial 16S ribosomal RNA". It matches the Rfam family "Bacterial small subunit ribosomal RNA", at positions 30 to 523 of the family's 1533-position model. The record is from RNAcentral.